GUCUUGGACCUGUUCCUGGGCUCCUGCACUCUGAUAUCCAUCUCACCCACUUGUAAGUAUCCGUCACAGCCGGGCUACAACAGCAGAAGACUACAUCAGGUCCCAGUCCUGUCAACUAAGACAGCACAGGCCUACCAAAAUUGGAAAUUAGAAGACUGGAAAAACAAUAUGAGCAACAUUCAGAAGAAAGUGAACCACAACAUGUGGCAACAGAGCCCACAAACAUGAGCUCAUUCCUCUUGAGGGAAACUAGCAACUGAAAAAAACAGAGAUAGAAAGAGAGAAAGUCCCAGUGUUCCUCUCCACAUCCAUUUGUCUUUGGACUACAUUCCUGCUCCUCUUCCUC
Molecule: long non-coding RNA, 346 nt
Organism: Oreochromis aureus
Lineage: Eukaryota; Metazoa; Chordata; Actinopteri; Cichliformes; Cichlidae
Source: Ensembl